Molecule: long non-coding RNA, 580 nt
Organism: Mobula hypostoma (lesser devil ray)
Lineage: Eukaryota; Metazoa; Chordata; Chondrichthyes; Myliobatiformes; Myliobatidae
Exons: 3
Source: RefSeq, a predicted model, not a curated record
CUUUCACAAUGAAGGAAAGAAACUCUGGUGCAUUACUUGCUAAUGGACAUUGCCUGUGAGUUAAGGCACAAGCAAGUCUGUUCGAUAAAACCAACGCAACUGGUUUAUCCACCCAAAACAUCACAGCUGGAUAUCUUCUCCUUCUUGCUAAAGACGUGUCAAUCACUUCAGCUGAACUUGCUUCUGAGGCAUGGAUGAGCAUAUAAUACUAUUUCCUGGAGUCUUGGCUAAAAGACCAUGUCUGCAGCCAAGACUUUCUUGCCUGGUGCAGAAAACGAACUGCUGGAGGAACUCAGUGGGUCAGUUUGUGAAGGGAAAGGAAUUGUCAGCUAUUCAGAUUGAGAGUGCAUCAGGACCUGCAUUAUACUCCAGCAUCUGCACUCCCUUGCAUCUCCGUUUUCUUGCCUGAUGACAUCUUACCCUGCUUUCUCCUCCGGUUGUGCUGAAGAGAGAAUUCAUUUUCAAUCUCUUCUGAUUUAUGCUGUUCCUGUAACAGACACUUGACUUGCUACAAAGGAUCACUGGUUGAAAAGCACUGCACAAAAGCGUAUUACUGCAAAUCUGAUGUGCAAGCAGGAAA